AGCAUUGCGGCUGUCCAGGUCUCUAGUAUAGUAGUAGGUCAUGCUGACUGAAGGGUACCAGGAAGGAGGUUUGAGCCGUGCUUUGGCAACAACAUCCCGCCGAUUCGAAAACUGGAGGGUGAAGUGCUGAUAGUUGCAGGUCAGGACUCGAAAGGGGCCGUCGUACGGGGGCUGCAGAGGCUUUUGUAACGAAUCUUGCCGGACGAAAACGUGUGUGGCACUCGCGAGGCCCGAGAGGUUUGAAAGGCACGGGGAGGAAGAGGGUGCAGCAACUACAUGUCUGGAAAGGCGAAGUGUCGUGCCGUAGACCACCUCGGACGCUGUACUGCCAGCAUCCUGCUUGACGGUCGAGGGUAUAGCCAGAAGGACAAAAGGAAUGUCCGUUACCAAGUCAUCCAAGGACGCAGUUCCUCGCACGGCAACCACGACAGAACAAGUCUUGUGGUCGAAGGCCACGAAGAAAGGCAACCUGUACACGCCGUUGCUGAAGGACGAAUACACCGAGUCUUCGGGUGCAAUUUGAGUGACGCAGCGCAGGGUGGCAGCGUUGCACUGAAAGCAAUUGUCUCCUACGAUACGGUCGCUGUCCUCUUGAUUCGUGCACCUUUAGUCGGGGUAAGACAUCAACAUGUGUCACUCAACAUUGUUCUUGUAAAGAGUCGAUGAAUUAAAGGCCCUACCCACGUGUC
Long non-coding RNA from Ornithodoros turicata, 689 nucleotides. RefSeq lists it as uncharacterized. The record is from RefSeq and is a predicted model, not a curated record. NCBI's taxonomy places the organism in Eukaryota, Metazoa, Arthropoda, Arachnida, Ixodida, Argasidae. The transcript has 2 exons.